Molecule: ribosomal RNA, 433 nt
Filed under: uncultured bacterium
Lineage: Bacteria
Description: partial 16S ribosomal RNA
Rfam family: Bacterial small subunit ribosomal RNA
Source: RNAcentral
AACGAACGCUGGCGGCAUGCCUAACACAUGCAAGUCGAACGAGAACACCGGGACUUUUGGCCCCUGAGUGUGUCACGCGUGGGAACAUGAACAUAGGUUCGGAAUACCUCUAAGACUGGGGUGCUAAUACCGGACAAUGUCUUCUGCCCAAAGAUUUAUUGCAUUUGGUUGGUCCGGCGUUGGAUUAGGUGGUUGGUACGGUAAUAGCCUACUACGGCGACGAUGCAUAGCUUGUUUGUGAGGAUGAUCAGCCACACUGGGAUUAAGACCCGGCCCGGACUCCUACGGGAGGCAGCAGUGGGGAAUAGUGCACAGUGGGCUGAGUGAUGAACCUGCACGGCCGGGUGAGUGAUGAAGGCCGUAGGGAUGUAAAGCGCUUUUAACCGGGAUGAUAAUGACGGUACCGGGAGAAUAAGCCCCGGCUAACUACGUG